UACAGAGGUCCCAAGCGUUGUUCGGAUUCAUUGGGCGUAAAGGGUGCGUAGGCGGCGCGGUAAGUCGGGUGUGAAAUCCCCGGGCUCAACCUGGGAAUUGCAUUCGAAACUGCGAGGCUAGGGUACGGAAGAGGGAAGCGGAAUUUCUGGUGUAGCGGUGAAAUGCGUAGAUAUCAGAAGGAACAUCAGUGGCGAAAGCGGCUUCCUGGUCCAGUACCGACGUUCAGGCACGAAAGCGUGGGGAGCAAACAGG
RNAcentral lists this ribosomal RNA (253 nucleotides) under uncultured bacterium. RNAcentral's name for it is "partial 16S ribosomal RNA". It matches the Rfam family "Bacterial small subunit ribosomal RNA", at positions 524 to 776 of the family's 1533-position model. The record is from RNAcentral.